This 997-nucleotide ribosomal RNA is filed under the name uncultured bacterium. RNAcentral's name for it is "bacterial SSU rRNA". It matches the Rfam family "Bacterial small subunit ribosomal RNA", at positions 356 to 1376 of the family's 1533-position model. The record is from RNAcentral.
GGGGAAUAUUGCACAAUGGGGGAAACCCUGAUGCAGCGACGCCGCGUGGAGGAAGAAGGUCUUCGGAUUGUAAACUCCUGUUGUUGAGGAAGAUAAUGACGGUACUCAACAAGGAAGUGACGGCUAACUACGUGCCAGCAGCCGCGGUAAAACGUAGGUCACAAGCGUUGUCCGGAAUUACUGGGUGUAAAGGGAGCGCAGGCGGGAAGACAAGUUGGAAGUGAAAUCCAUGGGCUCAACCCAUGAACUGCUUUCAAAACUGUUUUUCUUGAGUAGUGCAGAGGUAGGCGGAAUUCCCGGUGUAGCGGUGGAAUGCGUAGAUAUCGGGAGGAACACCAGUGGCGAAGGCGACCUACUGGGCACCAACUGACGCUGAGGCUCGAAAGCAUGGGUAGCAAACAGGAUUAGAUACCCUGGUAGUCCAUGCCGUAAACGAUGAUUACUAGGUGUUGGAGGAUUGACCCCUUCAGUGCCGCAGUUAACACAAUAAGUAAUCCACCUGGGGAGUACGACCGCAAGGUUGAAACUCAAAGGAAUUGACGGGGGCCCGCACAAGCAGUGGAGUAUGUGGUUUAAUUCGAAGCAACGCGAAGAACCUUACCAGGUCUUGACAUCCGAUGCAUAGCACAGAGAUGUGUGAAAUCCUUCGGGACAUCGAGACAGGUGGUGCAUGGUUGUCGUCAGCUCGUGUCGUGAGAUGUUGGGUUAAGUCCCGCAACGAGCGCAACCCUUAUUGCCAGUUACUACGUUAAGAGGACUCUGGCGAGACUGCCGUUGACAAAACGGAGGAAGGUGGGGAUGACGUCAAAUCAUCAUGCCCUUUAUGACCUGGGCUACACACGUACUACAAUGGCGUUAAACAAAGAGAAGCAAGACCGCGAGGUGGAGCAAAACUCAGAAACAACGUCCCAGUUCGGACUGCAGGCUGCAACUCGCCUGCACGAAGUCGGAAUUGCUAGUAAUCGCAGAUCAGCAUGCUGCGGUGAAUACGUUCCCG